RNAcentral lists this ribosomal RNA (349 nucleotides) under uncultured bacterium. RNAcentral describes it as "partial 16S ribosomal RNA". It matches the Rfam family "Bacterial small subunit ribosomal RNA", at positions 527 to 873 of the family's 1533-position model. The record is from RNAcentral.
AGAGGGUGCAAGCGUUAAUCGGAAUUAACUGGGCGUAAANNNNNCGUNNNNNNNNUUGUUAAGUUGGAUGUGAAAUCCCCGGGCUCAACCUGGGAACUGCAUUCAAAACUGACUGACUAGAGUAUGGUAGAGGGUGGUGGAAUUUCCUGUGUAGCGGUGAAAUGCGUAGAUAUAGGAAGGAACACCAGUGGCGAAGGCGACCACCUGGACUAAUACUGACACUGAGGUGCGAAAAGCGUGGGGAGCAAACAGGAUUAGAUACCCUGGUAGUCCACGCCGUAAACGAUGUCAACUAGCCGUAUGGAAGCCUUGAGCUUUUAGUGGCGCMKAACGCAUUAAGUUGACCGCC